UCCCUAGUGGUCUAGUGGUUAGGAUUUGGUGUUUUCACCACUUUGGCCUGGGUUCAAUUCCUGGUCUGGGUA
Transfer RNA from Sus scrofa (pig), 72 nucleotides. It matches the Rfam family "tRNA". Rfam says of the family: Transfer RNA (tRNA) molecules are approximately 80 nucleotides in length. NCBI's taxonomy places the organism in Eukaryota, Metazoa, Chordata, Mammalia, Artiodactyla, Suidae. The record is from Rfam.